This 388-nucleotide long non-coding RNA is filed under the name Vulpes vulpes (red fox). Its description in RNAcentral is "lncRNA (ENSVVUG00000018946.1)". The record is from RNAcentral. Lineage: Eukaryota; Metazoa; Chordata; Mammalia; Carnivora; Canidae.
GCAGAGAAUGUUAAAGGGCUCCUCAUACCCUCAGAAUAUUCACAUAAUGUUGGUUAGAAUUUUAGUAGAGGAGAAAAAUGACAAUCAAUUCUUUUGAAAGGAGGCUUGAACAUUUAUGACAUCAGAGGCGGGGCCCAUCACCUUUCUACUGAGUUUCUAUGUCUGACUCUUCAGAUGUUCGCCAUCCCUCAUCUCUCACGAAGAGAGAGAGAAUGGCGGUGAGGAGCAGAAGAAGAAGGAGAGACCCAGGCACCCUGUUUUGAGGAUAAUAUUAAUGAAUUUUAGAACUUGAUUAAAAGUUGAGCUGAUUAUAGACUCACUGGCUGUCCCAGUCUGCAGAGUAUGUGACUUAAUUUUUGGGUUAUAAGUUUGAGUCCCACGUUGAGAU